RNAcentral lists this ribosomal RNA (253 nucleotides) under uncultured bacterium. RNAcentral's name for it is "partial 16S ribosomal RNA". It matches the Rfam family "Bacterial small subunit ribosomal RNA", at positions 524 to 776 of the family's 1533-position model. The record is from RNAcentral.
UACAGAGGGUGCGAGCGUUGUUCGGAAUUAUUGGGCGUAAAGGGCGCGUAGGCGGUGCGGUAAGUCACCUGUGAAAUCUCCUGGCUCAACUGGGAGCUUGCAGGCGAAACUGCCGUGCUGGAGUGUGGGAGAGGUGCGUGGAAUUCCUGGUGUAGCGGUGAAAUGCGUAGAGAUCCGGAAGAACACCAGUGGCGAAGGCGGCCCGCUGGGCAGUGGCUGACGCUGAGGCGCGACAGCGUGGGGAGCAAACAGG